Molecule: ribosomal RNA, 253 nt
Filed under: uncultured bacterium
Lineage: Bacteria
Description: partial 16S ribosomal RNA
Rfam family: Bacterial small subunit ribosomal RNA
Source: RNAcentral
UACGUAGGGGGCAAGCGUUAUCCGGAAUUACUGGGUGUAAAGGGUGAGUAGGCGGCAUGGUAAGCCAGAUGUGAAAGCCUUGGGCUUAACCCGAGGAUUGCAUUUGGAACUAUCAAGCUAGAGUACUGGAGAGGAAAGCGGAAUUCCUAGUGUAGCGGUGAAAUGCGUAGAUAUUAGGAAGAACACCAGUGGCGAAGGUGGCUUUCUGGACUGAAACUGACGCUGAGGCACGAAAGCGUGGGGAGCGAACAGG